AGAAUAUCGAAAUAAUUUGUGUAAUUGAUGACUUGUUUAUUUUGUGGAAAUUCAUGAUCAAUUUAAUGAAAAGAAUGAAACACUUUUGUUGUUAUAAAACGAUACUUCUUCCACGUAACUAUUAAGUAAGACGAUUGGCUAGUUGGCAACAUAGUUUCAUUGUACAGCUCAGAAGAAGAAGUAAAGGUAGGAAAGAAGAGUGUCUGUCUUCGAGAUUUGCAAUUUGUCAUUUGUCAUAUUACAUUACUGUUAGGUCAACUUAAAUAAAAAAAUAAUUUUGUCACUUCAUCCAAUCUACUUUUUGUUUUGACUUUGUUGGUUUGUUUCUAUUUCCUAACAAUAACAAUCUUUCAUCAUCUUAAUAUACCAAGGAAUAUGACAUCCCUAGAAAAAGUAAAAAAGGAAAAGUUAAGAAACCCAGACAAAAACGCAGUGCAUGCUGGAUAUAUUUUGAAAAUAUUGAUGGAAAUGAUUCAUGGAGACAAGCCAGGUAUAUGCAAUCUUAUACGUCUGUUCCAUCGGAAAGAGUGGACAACUCCUACGAGACCGUAGAACUCGCCUCAGUCCCAAGAGAGUUGGAAAAAUUAUAUUUUCAGCUUCAAAUUUAGAUUAAGUUUCUAGGUAUAUAUUUAGUUUAUCCAGAAUAAAUGUUUUGUUUUAUGUAAAUAUUUUAUUUCACAAAUUUAAUUAAUUUAAGUUAUGUUGUUACUUUUCGUUUUCCGAUUGUUAGAAUUUAUUUAAUUCAUUUAGGUUACUUUUUGUUUUCGAGUUGUGAGAAUUUGAUUUAUUCAGUAAUAUAUUUUACAUAAUGU
Leptinotarsa decemlineata (Colorado potato beetle) is the source of this 812-nucleotide long non-coding RNA. The record is from RefSeq and is a predicted model, not a curated record. Lineage: Eukaryota; Metazoa; Arthropoda; Insecta; Coleoptera; Chrysomelidae.